UACGUAGGGAGCAAGCGUUGUCCGGAAUCAUUGGGCGUAAAGCGCGCGUAGGUGGCCUCAUAAGUCCGCUGUGAAAGUCAAAGGCUCAACCUUUGAAAGCCGGUGGAUACUGUGAGGCUAGAGUACGGAAGAGGCGAGUGGAAUUCCUGGUGUAGCGGUGGAAUGCGCAGAUAUCAGGAGGAACACCAAUAGCGAAGGCAGCUCGCUGGGACGUUACUGACGCUGAGACGCGAAAGCGUGGGGAGCAAACAGG
This 253-nucleotide ribosomal RNA is filed under the name uncultured bacterium. RNAcentral describes it as "partial 16S ribosomal RNA". It matches the Rfam family "Bacterial small subunit ribosomal RNA", at positions 524 to 776 of the family's 1533-position model. The record is from RNAcentral.